Molecule: non-coding RNA, 2258 nt
Organism: Malus domestica (apple)
Lineage: Eukaryota; Viridiplantae; Streptophyta; Magnoliopsida; Rosales; Rosaceae
Source: RefSeq, a predicted model, not a curated record
CUUCUUCGUUGUUCCUUGGGCUUCAUUUUGGUAUGUAGAAGGACUAGGUUUAGUUGAGAUUCGAGGUUGAUCAAAGCUUUGGAACCUCCAACUUUCUUUUUCGUGGAGUCCACCCAACCUACGAUGUGGAAUCGGGUUGACUCGACCUGCAACUCAAAACCAGGCACAAACCUUUGGGCCAUGUAUCAAGCCCAACUCAUUGACCCUAACAUAUUUAUCUUAACCCAGGCCCAACCCACUUACCGUAACCCGGAUCCAAUCCAAUGACCAGGACCCCAUCUCAGUUCCAUGGUCUGCGUGUGGGUGUGCGUCAUGGCCGAUGCACGUCUCUACUGGAGGUACUGUGCUGUAAUAUCCUCAAAAUUUUAGGUAAUGAUUAAGAGUGAAUUGCUUGCGGCCAUUAAAAGUUCUCUUACUUUUGAGACCAAGCUUUGGCUUGAAAAGAGAAGAACUAAAAGAAAAGAAUUCAUGUAAAAUUUAAAAAAAAAGGGAAAAGGGGAUGGGGUUUCUAGAAAACCCCCUCAUAUUGCUGUUUUCCCUUUCAGCCGAAAGGAAUGAAAGGAUUUAUCCCUUUUAUCCCUUAAAUUGUCAAAACAAAAAUUGAAGGAGGAGGAAAUUAGCUUUCCUUUCCUCUAUUUGUAAAGAUUAGAACAAGUGAGGAUCUUUCCUUUGUCUCCAUUUAAGAUAAGGAGGAGAAGACCAAGGUGACUAUGGAACAAGUUGACGAACACCCUGGGAGUUGAAUAUCAAGAAAUUGUGUUGAGGUAGGGGAGUUUUAAUCAAAAAGAAAUAUUUUGGAUUUUCAUUUUUACUUGAUCAAGGAUUGUUGGCAUUUGAGCACUAUUUGAAGCUUACCUAAAGUGUUUUUCUUUUUUCGAUUAUAUGAAAGAAGUGAAGAAAAUAUUUCUCUAUGGUUUGAUCUUAAUGAUUCGAAUUCCGUUGCUACAACUUUGGUGAGUUUAAAAUGAUUGAAAUGAUUUUUCAAGAUUUUGUUUUGAUGUGCAUGCCUCUUAUUUUACUCAAUAUCGAAUUUUGAAGCAUUUUGAUACGAAUGUUCAAAUUGUGAAAGAAUAUGGAAAGUAGUAUAAUACAUGUGCACAAUGACUCGUGAUGUUGUUGAUUAUGGGCACAAUGACCCAAUGUUCCCCGGGAAGAGCUCCAUGUAUGGAAUGUGAGAAUGAGUUAUCAAAGUGAUAAAUACGUGUGAUAUGUAAAUUGGCCAGUUAUUACUAUUGUUCGUUCCAAUCUGCUAGUCACUUGUUUGGGAUAAUAGAAAAUCUUUGAGAUUAGUUGUGUUUGUGUUUCUUUAAAUGAUAAUGGCUUUAUUAUCCUUAUGACAAAGGAAGUGACUUCUGAACCAGUGUGUUGUACCGUUGUUAACAAAGCUACUAAUGUUCUAAAACUUUGGUUUUUCUGUCAUAUGUUACCUCCAAGCAUUUUUGGAGCAUAUUUAAGAUUGUUGGAUUUUGUGGUAAUGAAUAUAAAUGUUUUCGAAUUACUUUUAUUAUUUUCUGGCAUGCACCAUAAAUUUUAAAUGACUACAGACUUACUGAAAGCCCCCUACUGGGCAUUUUAUGCUCACCCGUUUUUCUAAACAUGUACUUUCAAGUGUGUAGAGUCGGCUAGCUAAUUUUCAAGUGGCAGCUCUAGUGUGGGAUAGUAGAAGGGAGUCCAGACGUACACUUCCUUUGGUGGACGGUGGUGACCACGGCGGCGCCGGCGACCUUUCUGGCGACCCACAUCAACAUGUGGCCUUCCAGGCCACCGCCUUGUGGCAGCGUAUGGAAGAACCCGAGGUCCCUCCUAGGUGCAUCAGUUGGAAGUGAUACCACCUCGCUAGUUCGAGUGGCUCUCAGGCAAUGAAAUACUUGAUUUAGAUUCGAGGCACACGAUCCCGGCGUCACGGCACUUCUGCUUAAGCAUCUUCGAGUCUACUUUGUGAUCGGGGCAUGUCAUUUCCCUGGUGAUCUGGUGACUCAAAGAAUGGCGAGGUCUACCUUGAGAUAAUGAGGUUAUAAUUGAGGUGCAUCAAUUUUUUGUUGAAAACUAUUUCCAAACCCCCUCUUAGACCUUGGUUAAGUCUUGUGCCUUUGAGAAUUUAUGUAAGGGAUCUCUCUUCGGAGUAGGUUCUACUAUAAGAAAAAAAUUCUAUUGUGCAAAAAGGUAUCUAGACAACUUUUUAAUUAAUUAUUGUACCCACAUCAGCACAUAACAAAUUUUUUACAGAAUUGUGGCGAAAUGAUCAUAUUGAUUUGCAA